Neofelis nebulosa (Clouded leopard) is the source of this 2249-nucleotide long non-coding RNA. RefSeq lists it as uncharacterized. The record is from RefSeq and is a predicted model, not a curated record. NCBI's taxonomy places the organism in Eukaryota, Metazoa, Chordata, Mammalia, Carnivora, Felidae. The transcript is spliced from 4 exons.
CGAGGAGAGGCGAAACCAGAGGGAAGACGACUUCCCUCCGGAGGGUAGACGGGCCUGCUGGGAUACUCCCGGAUGACUGCGAGAGGCAGUGGGCGGGCUCCGCCGUUCCGCGGCACGCCGGGAAGAGGUCACUUCCAAGGGAAGGUUCCGGUUCCGGUGUAGGCGGUGGUUGAGUUGCCGUGGCAACGCGGUAACCCGGCUCCCGGUUUCCGCGUUAGGGGCGGCGGCGGGGCUGGAGCCGGCCUGUGCCCUCCUUUCCCAGCCUGGGUGAGCGACGCCGGUACCUCCGUGCGGCCGCGGCGGAAAGCCGCCGUUCGUGGUGGGAGCGGGGCCGGGGCCGGGCGCUGGGGGCCGGGGCGCCCGCGUCGAAGCGGGCGGCCACGUGUCCCGGCUGUGCCUUGGCCGCGCUGCCCGCGUGGGAGCCGAGGCCCGGCCCCGGCCCGGCGGCGCCCGCCUCCGGCGUUCAAUUAUAUCUCGAAAAUAACUUUUAAAAUUGUGUAACGUGCUCUCGUGUGCAUAUCCCUUCCGGGUUUGGGGCUUCGUGGACUUCGCAGCCCGCCUCAGUCCUUUGUUGCCCAGGGAGCCACGAGGGAAUUGGUUCCCUGGACAAACGUUUUCUGAGCGGGUGCUGCGUGCUAGGCACGGUGCCUGCGCGGGAUGCCCGGACUUGGUGCCCAGAGCUCGUCAGCGGGAGAAGUGAGAAGCAGCUUCAUGGAUUCCAGGUAAAUCAGAGGAGCAAGCAUCAUGAACAGAAGUAUGUACAGGAAAUGCCGUGUUGCUGAAACCUAAGUGAUGUUGCAGAAGUCCAGGACCUGGUGUGCUUACCAGUUGGGAAUGUAUUAUUUCCCAAAUCACCUAAUUUUUCCUCAUGCUUAUAGGAGAAAAAUUCGCAGACUUCUCUUCUGAGGAUCCAGGGACACAGAACAGUAACGCGAGGUGACACAUCUCUUACCUGGUAUGUAGCAUUGGCUUGGAAGCUUAGAUGUCUUUCUUACUGUCAGACGUUUUAUUGAGAACACAGCUGUCAUCAUAAGAUUACAAGUAAACCCUGAGCAGGAAGAAUACCCGGCCUGCGUUCUGGGAACUUACAAUGGCAAGUUCCCGAUGGUAGGAACCACGGAGUUUGCUUUUGCCGGAUUUCCACAACUCACAGCCCAGUCCUGGGCAACCGCCGCACACACAUAAACAUCCCGGGAGCGUGCGCAUCACUGUAAGCAGCAGGAACCCACCUGGUGGUGCAGCAUUACGGACGGGUACUACAACCAACAGCUGAAACACCCAGUGGGAAGACUUCUAUUGACCCCCCAAACCCGUACUGAAUGUUGACCACUGCUCUACUCACAAUAGCCCCAAACCGGAGACAACCCAUUUGCCCUUCGGCAAGUGAGCGGCUAGACAAACAGUGGUCCGUCCGUGCCAUGCAAUGGAGGGGUACGAACUCUUGGUACAGAAACACUCCGGAAGAAUUGCCAGUGAAUUCUGCUGAGUGAAAGUAGCCAAGCGCCAAAGGUUACACACCGUAUGAUUCCAUUAACGUGCUAUUCUUGAAAUGGCAAAAUUAUAGAAAUGCGAAUGGAUUAAUGGUUGCCAGGGGUGAGAGAGGGGAUAAGAGUGGGGGAAACACCUGCAUUCUGAUGGUGUCAGCCUCAACAUCCUGGUUGUGAUUCUGUGCUACGUAGGUAAUGUCUUUUUUUGCAAGACAUUACCAUUGGGGGAAACUGGGGAAAAGGUACAGGGAUCAUUCAGCCUAGUUUAUUACAACUGCAUAAUCUACAGUUAUCUCCAAAUCAAAGGUUUAAUUAAAAAAAAACACUUAUGGGGUGCCUGGGUGGCUCAGUCAGUUGAGCGCCCGACUUCAGCUCAGGUCAUGAUCUCGCGGUUCGUGAGUUCAAGCCCCGCGUCAGGCUCUGUGCUGACAGCUCAGAGCCCGGAGCCUGCUUCAGAUUCUGUGUCUCCCUCUCUCUGCCCCUUUCCCACUCAUGCUCUGUCUCUCUCUGUCUCUCAGAAAAUGAAUAAAUGUUAAAAAAAAUUUUUUUUUUAAAAACCGCUUAUGGUGUUCCCAGAAGAAGCAGAAAGACUAGAUAGGGUUGCCCAUGGAUGGGAGAAAUAUAUAGCAAGCCUCUUCUAGAAAGAUUUUAUUUUUUAGGAGUGAAGUUUGUCGAUUGUACUUGACAUUUUGUCUCUGUUAGUACUUAAUCCUUGGAAUAUAUUAACAGUCGUAAUACGAUUAAAAUUCACACAGUUUUUUA